GCCUGCUAGCCUGCAUUCCCUUUCCUGUAUCCUCUUCAGUCGUCGCCCAUAGAAACGCCCUCGAAGCCCCUCCCGAGGGAGGGAAAGCGCGUGGUGGGGGAAAGGUAGGAAGUGAGGAAGGCUUUUUCGCUUUCAAGAAAACCCCUUUCACCCCCCGCUCGCCUCUCGGGUUAGAAACGUCCGUACACCGGCUUAAGUCAAUAGCAAAUGUUGUGUUAAAGGAAAGCGGUAUUAGUUUUUCUUUCAAAUAAGUUCUCGUGAAGUAAUGCGCCUCCGUGCGCUACCCAGAAUUCCCGAGGUCCCGCGUGGCGUGUUUCCGGUCUGCGUGCUGCCCGGGAGCAGCAAGGCGAGGCUCCAGCGUUCGCGAGCCUUUUCACCGUGCCCCGCUGCUGUGGGUCCUCGCCCAGUGCCCGCUUUCCCCCACAAAGUAUUUUAUGUAUUUUUGUAUUUUAUGACUGUAAGAAGAAAACUGCUUUCAAAAAGUGCCUGCUCCCAGCAAAACUGAUAGUGCCUUUGAAACAUCCAUGUGUCAACAUCAAGUUUGCUGUUGUAAAUGUUUUUCUGAAACUCAUGAAAGAGAGCUGCAGCCAUUACCACUUUCCAAGGGCUUACAGAGUGAUCCACAGUCAUGGAAUCCCACAUGACAGCGUCUGACCAGGGGACCCUGUUCUGAACACAGGAGGUAUGGAUAUGGGGCCAUGACCUUGGGAUUCACUGCAGCAUCCAGAAGCUGCUGACCUGGUAGAGUGAUGGGAUGACCUGCUGAAAGCAUAACUGAAAUGUUACCUUGGAGACAAGACUCUUAAUGACUGGGCACUCCUCCGGAAUGCAGUCUAUGCACUGAAUCAGAGGCUUCUAAAUGGUACUGUGUUCCCGGGAAGAAGAAAACUGUUGCCUAGGAAUCAAGAAGUGGAAGCAGGAGGGGUUCCACUUACCAUCACUCCAGUGACCCACCGGAAGAUUUUAUGUUGUCUAUCCCUGCAACUCUGGGCUCUCAGGAUUAGAGGGCCUGAUAAGGGGAUGCACUCUUGCCACUGGGCACAGUGAACUACAAGCUGUGGCUGCCACUUGGGCACCUUGGAUUCCAGCAGGCCAGAAGAGUCACCAUCUUGGCAGAGGUCAUUGUCCCUGAUCAGCAAGUAGAGGCAGGGCUCCUGUUACACGAUGAGGACAGGGAAAAAUAUGUGUAGAAUUCAGGUGACCCACGUGGGUGCCUCUUGGCACUUUAUUGUUGAAUUGCAAACUUGGGUGGACGAGUGCAGCAAUCCCGGCCUAAGAAGAAUAUGGUUAACAAAACUCAGACCCCUCCAAGUGGAGCAGCUGCUCCCUGGAUCUGUGGAGAGAAGUAAAUCUAUGCGGCACAAGGGUGGGCUGUGGCAACCACGGAUGGGUGUGCUGUUCAAAUGUCCCUUCAAGAAAGAACUUAGUGAGCAAUUGCGAGAGGAGCAGUUUACUGAUAGCCUCAGGUUACAGCAUCUUUGGGCUCUGUAGUUUUUGAGCUGAGGCCAGGCUUUUCCUCAGCCAGCCCCAGCCAAUGAUUGAGCAUGUGCCCAGCACUCUCUCUUACAUUUGGGAACUUCUCUACCCGAACCCCAACUGUAGGGUUCCAAAAGGAGAAACCAUGCCCUUCUAUGUCCUGGCUCCCACCACCAAAGUUGAUUGGUCUAAGCAUGGGUGCCUAAUUGAAGAUAGGCGGUCACUCAUAGUCCUUCCCUUGGAUUUUUUUUCUUUCUUUCUUUUUUUUUUUUAACUGUAACUGAGAAAAGAGUGUCUCUAGUGGGGAAGGUGUAAGAGGUAGACUCCGGAGUUAUUGGUUUCUGGCCAUGUGAAGAAGUCCAUCUACAGUGAGAAUGAAGUCAACACACAGAGAAGUUCAAAGACAAGAGACAGAGAGUGCUUGCAGCAUUCAAUUGCUUGAGGUCCACCUGUAUCCGGCUCUUCUAGGUUUGAUUGUUUUAACCUUUUCCUUCUAUUGGGUAAGAUAGUCUAGUAUGUUUCCAAUAAAUAAUCUGAUCGGAAUCAGACAUCCAUGAUAUGUGAUCGCCUAAGAGGUUCUGGCAUUUAGGAGUAUCCUAUACCUAUUUUAUAUUAAAAGGUAACAUUGACAGAGUUGAGGGUUUAUUAUGUUCCGAAGAAUGGUCUAAGCACUUUACAUAUCUGAAUUCAUUUAAUAUUCUCAGCAACAAUGAGUCUAACCUAAUGUCCUCUAUUGUUUUCCCCAAUUUACAUAUAAAGAAAUCGAGGCUACUUUAUUUU
Molecule: long non-coding RNA, 2256 nt
Organism: Mirounga angustirostris (Northern elephant seal)
Lineage: Eukaryota; Metazoa; Chordata; Mammalia; Carnivora; Phocidae
Exons: 3
Source: RefSeq, a predicted model, not a curated record